CCUACGGGAGGCAGCAGUGAGGAAUAUUGGUCAAUGGACGAGAGUCUGAACCAGCCAAGUAGCGUGAAGGAUGACUGCCCUAUGGGUUGUAAACUUCUUUUAUAUGGGAAUAAAAUGUUCCACGUGUGGGAUUUUGUAUGUACCAUAUGAAUAAGGAUCGGCUAACUCCGUGCCAGCAGCCGCGGUAAUACGGAGGAUCCGAGCGUUAUCCGGAUUUAUUGGGUGUAAAGGGAGCGUAGGCGGAUUGUUAAGUCAGUUGUGAAAGUUUGCGGCUCAACCGUAAAAUUGCAGUUGAAACUGGGAGUCUUGAGUGCAGUAGAGGUAGGCGGAAUUCGUGGUGUAGCGGUGAAAUGCUUAGAUAUCACGAAGAACUCCGAUUGCGAAGGCAGCUCACUGGACUGCAACUGACACUGAGGCUCGAAAGUGUGGGUAUCAAACAGGAUUAGAUACCCGAGUAGUC
RNAcentral lists this ribosomal RNA (460 nucleotides) under uncultured bacterium. RNAcentral describes it as "partial 16S ribosomal RNA". It matches the Rfam family "Bacterial small subunit ribosomal RNA", at positions 338 to 795 of the family's 1533-position model. The record is from RNAcentral.